RNAcentral lists this ribosomal RNA (381 nucleotides) under Triticum aestivum (bread wheat). RNAcentral's name for it is "partial small subunit ribosomal RNA". The record is from RNAcentral. Lineage: Eukaryota; Viridiplantae; Streptophyta; Magnoliopsida; Poales; Poaceae.
AUGUCCAACAUCAACCGGUCGCAUCCGGCUCUCCCGAUGGCGACCUUCCAGCCCAAGGGACAAGGCCAAUGCGUGCUAACUCUGUGUCGAUCGUGUGGGUACGUGUUGCUCUCCUCAGGUUUUGCGCCGACGCCGGCGCCGUCGCCAUUGGAGCAAUGGACGAAGCGGUUCCAGGAGGCCGAGAGGCUGGUGGACGAGGUGAUGGGGAACAUCGCCGAGAGGGCGUCCGUCCCGGCGUCGCUGCCGCUAGAGCUGAAGCGCCGGACCGGCGAGAUCCGGCGGAAGGUGGCCAUCCUCGAGACCCGGCUGAGCCUCAUGAGGGAGGACCUCGACCGACUCCCCAACAGGCAUCUACUCAUAUUAUUACUCCUCCUACUAUAG